GUCCCUAGAGACAGCCUGGAAAGAUUGGGUGCCAGCUGCAGAGAGGAGAGCAAGGCGACCAAACGCAGGGUAAGGUCUGGAGGUGCUCAUAGUUCACUACGGGACAUGUACAUGGAAGUGAAUAAUUAUGUCACAAGGUGCCAAGGGGGCUAGUUACCUCACAUAGGAUCUUAGAAAAGGUCUCCUGGAGACCAUGUCUGAGCUGGUCCUGAGGUGUGAGUAGGGAUUCUCCGCAGGGCGGGGAAGGACUUGAAAGAGUCUGGCAAUAUGGAGCACAUCAGGAUUAUGGAAGCUGUGGCUGCCUGCAGCCCAUCCUGCCCCCAGCACCUAGAGUCAUCUUUAGAAAUGCAAGCCUGAUCGUGGAAUCCACCUUCCUAACACCCUUCAGUGCCCUCCUCUUCGUUACACCCUUACUAUACAAACGAUAGUCCAUGGACCAGCAGCAUCAACAUAACCAGGGAGCUUGUUAGAAAUGUAGAAUCUGGUCCAUCCCAAACCUGACGAAGCAGAAGCUGCAUUUUGCCAAGAUCCCAGGGAAUUUGUGUGCCCGUUAUGGUUUGCGAAGUGCUUCCCAAGAGAACAUACGGCAAGCCAGAGGGAUCUUUGCAGAUCUUGCUCCUUUCAUUCUCUGGCCUCAUCUUGUCGCUCUCCUCCAUCCGUGCCCACAUCCCCACUGUACUGGACCGCUUGCAGCUCCUUGAAUGCAGCAUAGUCUUGUUUUCUUUUUUGCAGUGAUUCUACAUCUUUCCCAUCUUCUCCACCUGGAUGCCUCCAUCCAUCCUUUCAGACUUCCCUUCUCUAGCAAACCUUUCUUGCUAAUUCCCAUGUCUAACACAACACUUCCCCAUACUGCAUGGCCAUUAUCCUUUCUGCAUCAGACUGUGAGCACCUUGAAGGCAGUGGCAGUGACUCAUUCAUUGUGGCAUCUGCAGAUUCCAGUGGACUGCCAGGCAUGCAAUAGAAAAUCAAAAAAGAUUUACUGCUAAAUAAUCCUCAACUCCAGUGGCAGCUCCAUGUGCCAUUUCUCUUCCGCUCUGGCCUCGGCUCUUCCUGUGCCUACCUGGGGCUUGGCUUUCACCUAGGUGUCUGCAUGGAAGGGAGAGCGACCUGGAGGACCAUCGCCAAUCCAUCAAUAGCCUCCCGGUUGAGAUGACUUCAGCUCUGAUUUGGAAGAGCUAUGAUAUUGUUUAUAGGAGUGAAUUAAUAUGUGUAAAGGUUACAAAGUAAACAGUUAAAUUAAAUUAAUUGUGCUGGAGCAGGUCAAACAGGCUUCUGAGAGAUGAACAUACACAUCUCUAUUAACUCCACAUUCAGUGAGUGUGGGUAACUUGAAAUUGGCUGGGUCACCAUUUACAUCAUAGAAAUUGGCAAAUAGUACAAAUUAGGGCUCCCUCACCCCUACUCGGGCAUAGAGCUGGUACACUAGCACACCUCUGGUUAUACAUGCAUGCGUGUGCCACCAGAACAAAACACCUAACAGCAGGCACGUUGCCUCUGUUGCCCACCAUUACAGCUCCCGCACGGAGCAGACAGACUCAUGGCAGGAAUUGAAUGCAUGUUUGUCGAGUGGAAGCAUGAACAAAUCCACAAAAUGCCCAAGAUGAGGCAAAGAAGGACAUUGGCUCAAAUGUUAAACAUAAGUUAGGAGCUGAGAUAAUGCCCAGAGGAAAAAUGUUCUGUAAUUCUAAGUAAAACCCAUCUCUAAGGCAGGAUGCUGCUUAUGAGGGCUCCACAGACAGAUGGGGGAGGCCUGGGUCCUGCCCUUGGAAAGAGUCUGACAGCUCGACUUCUGGAAACAGCCAUCUGCACAGGUCAACAUCUUCUUAGCUGACAGGGAGCAGAUUUGCAGACCACAUCACAUUUGAAAUUCCAGAAGAAACUUCUUGGAGUCUGCUCUUGUGCAAAUGAGCCUAGAAAGCCCGUUAACUUUGGGUGGAGGCUUCCACUGUUUGGCUAUCCCAAGUGGGCCCAAAGCUAAGGAAAACCCACCAGCCCUUUGCUUCCUGCUUCCUCUAUUUGUUUGCCCCAGGAAAUCAGAGGUGAUGACAUGAUUUGGCUUGGGCACGACAGGAAUAAACGAUAUUUAAGAGACGUCA
RNAcentral lists this long non-coding RNA (2096 nucleotides) under Homo sapiens (human). RNAcentral describes it as "prion locus lncRNA, testis expressed". Lineage: Eukaryota; Metazoa; Chordata; Mammalia; Primates; Hominidae. The record is from RNAcentral.